GGGAGCUUGCUCCUGGAUUCAGCGGCGGACGGGUGAGUAAUGCCUAGGAAUCUGCCUGGUAGUGGGGGAUAACGUCCGGAAACGGGCGCUAAUACCGCAUACGUCCUGAGGGAGAAAGUGGGGGAUCUUCGGACCUCACGCUAUCAGAUGAGCCUAGGUCGGAUUAGCUAGUUGGUGGGGUAAAGGCCUACCAAGGCGACGAUCCGUAACUGGUCUGAGAGGAUGAUCAGUCACACUGGAACUGAGACACGGUCCAGACUCCUACGGGAGG
RNAcentral lists this ribosomal RNA (271 nucleotides) under Pseudomonas sp. ZA3. RNAcentral's name for it is "partial 16S ribosomal RNA". It matches the Rfam family "Bacterial small subunit ribosomal RNA", at positions 74 to 348 of the family's 1533-position model. Lineage: Bacteria; Pseudomonadati; Pseudomonadota; Gammaproteobacteria; Pseudomonadales; Pseudomonadaceae. The record is from RNAcentral.